RNAcentral lists this ribosomal RNA (497 nucleotides) under uncultured bacterium. RNAcentral's name for it is "partial 16S ribosomal RNA". It matches the Rfam family "Bacterial small subunit ribosomal RNA", at positions 28 to 507 of the family's 1533-position model. The record is from RNAcentral.
GAUGAACGCUGGCGGCGUGCCUAAUACAUGCAAGUCGAGCGAACAGAUGAGGAGCUUGCUCCUCUGACGUUAGCGGCGGACGGGUGAGUAACACGUGGAUAACCUACCUAUCAGACUGGGAUAACUUCGGGAAACCGGAGCUAAUACCGUAUAAUAUCUUGAACCGCAUGGUUCAAUAGUGAAAGACGGUUUUGCUGUCACUUAUAGAUGGAUCCGCGCCGCAUUAGCUAGUUGGUAAGUUAACGGCUUACCAAGGCAACGAUGCGUAGCCGACCUGAGAGGGUGAUCGGCCACACUAGAACUGAGACACGGUCCAGACUCCUACGGGAGGCAGCAGUAGGGAAUCUUCCGCAAUGGGCGAAAGCUUGACGGAGCAACGCCGCGUGAGAGAUGAAAGUCUUCGGAUCGUGAAACUCUGUUAUUAGGGAAGAACAAAUGUGUAAGUAACUAUGCACGUCUUGACGGUACCUAAUCAGAAAGCCACGGCUAACUACGUG